RNAcentral lists this ribosomal RNA (515 nucleotides) under uncultured Planctomycetota bacterium. Its description in RNAcentral is "bacterial SSU rRNA". It matches the Rfam family "Bacterial small subunit ribosomal RNA", at positions 117 to 643 of the family's 1533-position model. The record is from RNAcentral. Lineage: Bacteria; Pseudomonadati; Planctomycetota.
GUCGGAACGUGCCCAGAGGACGGGGAUAGCGGCGGGAAACUGCCGGUAAUACCCGAUGAUCUCGAGAGAGCAAAGGUGUGAUUCCGCCUUUGGAGCGGCCGACAUGGUAUUAGCUAGUUGGUGGGGUAACGGCCCACCAAGGCUUUGAUGCCUAGGGGAUGUGAGAGCAUGAUCCCCACCAUUGGGACUGAGACACUGCCCAGACACCUACGGGUGGCUGCAGUCGAGAAUCUUCGUCAAUGGGCGAAAGCCUGAACGAGCGACGCCGCGUGCGGGAUGAAGGCCCUUGGGUUGUAAACCGCUGUCGAGGGGGAUGAAGGCUUGAAGGUACUCCUUCAAGUUUGACAGAGCCCUGGAGGAAGCACGGGCUAAGUUCGUGCCAGCAGCCGCGGUAAUACGAACUGUGCGAACGUUAUUCGGAAUCACUGGGCUUACAGGGUGCGUAGGCGGCCGAACAAGUCAGGUGUGAAAGCCCUCGGCUCAACCGAGGAACUGCGCUUGAAACUGUUUGGCUC